GCCUUCGUGGUGUAGUGGUCAGCCCACUCGACGCGUAACCGAGUGGUCCGUGGUUCGACUCCCGGCGAAGGCG
This 73-nucleotide transfer RNA is filed under the name Stegodyphus mimosarum. It matches the Rfam family "tRNA". From Rfam's summary of the family: Transfer RNA (tRNA) molecules are approximately 80 nucleotides in length. Lineage: Eukaryota; Metazoa; Arthropoda; Arachnida; Araneae; Eresidae. The record is from Rfam by way of RNAcentral.